UUCCCUUCGCCCGCUCCA
RNAcentral lists this transfer RNA (18 nucleotides) under Pseudomonas aeruginosa. RNAcentral describes it as "partial tRNA-Gly". Lineage: Bacteria; Pseudomonadati; Pseudomonadota; Gammaproteobacteria; Pseudomonadales; Pseudomonadaceae. The record is from RNAcentral.